GAAGGAUCAUUGUCGAUACCUG
Molecule: non-coding RNA, 22 nt
Filed under: Arabidopsis thaliana (thale cress)
Lineage: Eukaryota; Viridiplantae; Streptophyta; Magnoliopsida; Brassicales; Brassicaceae
Source: RNAcentral